This 72-nucleotide transfer RNA is filed under the name Camelus bactrianus (Bactrian camel). It matches the Rfam family "tRNA". Rfam says of the family: Transfer RNA (tRNA) molecules are approximately 80 nucleotides in length. Their secondary structure includes four short double-helical elements and three loops (D, anti-codon, and T loops). Further hydrogen bonds mediate the characteristic L-shaped molecular structure. tRNAs have two regions of fundamental functional importance: the anti-codon, which is responsible for specific mRNA codon recognition, and the 3' end, to which the tRNAs corresponding amino acid is attached (by aminoacyl-tRNA synthetases). tRNAs cope with the degeneracy of the genetic code in two manners: having more than one tRNA (with a specific anti-codon) for a particular amino acid; and 'wobble' base-pairing, i.e. permitting non-standard base-pairing at the 3rd anti-codon position. RNAcentral also lists the same sequence under 1 other name. The record is from Rfam by way of RNAcentral. Lineage: Eukaryota; Metazoa; Chordata; Mammalia; Artiodactyla; Camelidae.
GAGGACAGAGCUCAGUGGUAAAGCAUGUGCUUAGCAUGCACAAGGUCCUCAGUUCAAUCCUCAGUACCUCCA